This 95-nucleotide microRNA precursor is filed under the name Physcomitrium patens. RNAcentral describes it as "Physcomitrella patens miR156c stem-loop (ppt-MIR156c)". Its record names the gene ppt-MIR156c. Lineage: Eukaryota; Viridiplantae; Streptophyta; Bryopsida; Funariales; Funariaceae. The record is from miRBase by way of RNAcentral.
GAGUGGGAGUGACAGAAGAGAGUGAGCACAGUUGAGCAUGUACGAGGGUGACGUACUUGCUGAAGUGUGCUCACUCUCUUCAUGUCACGCCUCUC